Molecule: ribosomal RNA, 253 nt
Filed under: uncultured bacterium
Lineage: Bacteria
Description: partial 16S ribosomal RNA
Rfam family: Bacterial small subunit ribosomal RNA
Source: RNAcentral
UACGGGGGGGGCAAGCGUUGUUCGGAAUUACUGGGCGUAAAGGCCUCGUAGGCGGCCAACUAAGUCAGACGUGAAAUCCCUCGGCUUAACCGGGGAACUGCCUCUGAUACUGGAUGGCUUGAGAUUGGGAGAGGGAUGCGGAAUUCCAGGUGUAGCGGUGAAAUGCGUAGAUAUCUGGAGGAACACCGGUGGCGAAGGCGGCAUCCUGGACCAACACUGACGCUGAGGAGCGAAAGCCAGGGGAGCAAACGGG